This 446-nucleotide ribosomal RNA is filed under the name uncultured bacterium. RNAcentral describes it as "partial 16S ribosomal RNA". It matches the Rfam family "Bacterial small subunit ribosomal RNA", at positions 338 to 795 of the family's 1533-position model. The record is from RNAcentral.
CCUACGGGUGGCUGCAGUCGAGAAUCAUUCACAAUGGGGGAAACCCUGAUGGUGCGACGCCGCGUGGGGGACUGAAGGUCUUCGGAUUGUAAACCCCUGUCAUGUGGGAGCAAAUUAAAAAGAUAGUACCACAAGAGGAAGAGACGGCUAACUCUGUGCCAGCAGCCGCGGUAAUACAGAGGUCUCAAGCGUUGUUCGGAAUCACUGGGCGUAAGGCGUGCGUAGGCUGUUUCGUAAGUCGUGUGUGAAAGGCGCGGGCUCAACCCGCGUAUGGCACCUGAUACUGCGAGACUAGAGUAAUGGAGGGGGAACCGGAAUGCUCGGUGUAGCAGGGAAAUGCGUAGAUAUCGAGAGGAACACUCGUGGCGAAGGCGGGUUCCUGGACAUUAACUGACGCUGAGGCACGAAGGCCAGGGGAGCGAAAGGGAUUAGAUACCCGAGUAGUC